CUGUUAUCUCUUGUCCUUUUUUGCAGCUAUCUCUCAGAGCUCCGAAGUAUUAGGUUGUGAUGAAGGCCUUUUUUAAGAUCCGUCAUCUUGGAUUUGAUCCAAAGUGAAAACCUUUUUUAAGAUCCGUCAUCUUGGAUUUGAUCCAAAGUGAAAAUUGUAAAUAAAAGUGUGGCCGAGGGAAUAUAAGCAUAAAUAUCAGAAGACAUUGGUGGGCGGUAGAAGAACAGUCUCUUCUUUCUUCUCUUCUUUCCUUUUCUUCUGAUUUCAUUCUUCCACUAUCUCCAUGGAAGAAGACACUUCCACUUCAGGGAAUAGCAACAUCUCUCCCCAACUUCUGAUUGAGUAAGUUUGGCAAUUCCACAUUUUUCUUUCCUUUUCUUCUGAUUUCAUUCUUCCACCAUCUCCAUGGAAGAAGACACUUCCACUUCAGGGAAUAGCAACAUCUCUCCCCAACUUCUGAUUGAGUAAGUUUGACAAUUCCACAUUUUUCUUUCCUUUUCUUUUGAUUUCGUUCUUCCACCAUCUCCAUGGAAGAAGACACUUCCACUUCAGGAAAUAACAACAUCUCUCCCCAACUUCUGAUUGAAAUUGCAGAAUGAAGCAGUGCAGAGACCUGAAGAAGAAGAAGAAGAAGAAGACAGAUCACGUUUUGCAUACAAGUAGCAAUUUGUUCACCUUUUACGUUUUCUUCAGUCUGAUUGUUAAGUAAGACAACGCAAUAGCGUUUUUAUAAGUGUAAACGUAACGACUAGUUGAAGUCGUGUUAGUUUCUGUAUAUAUAUAUGUAUCUUCGCCUCUUCUGAAGAACACUGAACUGAAAACUACAGAAAUCAAAAUUUCUUUCUUGAUUCUUGCUCUACAGUUUUCAAUGAGCACUCUUCCCUCUUCUUCCAUCGUUUCCGCUCAAGAUUUUACAUGGUAUCAGAGCCAUCUUUGAUGGUCUCUCAUUAACCCAAACAAGAAACUCCAUAAAUCGAUUUCUUGAUUUCAAGAAUUGAAGGUGACAAUGACAGAGGACCCUGAGGUUCUGAAAUUACAGCCAGGAGACAAUCCAAGAUUCACUCAAUUUCUUGCUUUUUCGCAGUCCUCAAGUACGUGGGUGGGGUUGACUGGAGUUUCUCAAAAAAUGACUCGUUAAUUCAUCAUCUUGUGUUCCUGGCUUCUUGGCAUUCGGAGAGGCACCAGUGCUUCUAGAACUUCUAGAGAAAAUGAAGAAUACAUCACCUACGCUAUCGCCAGUUGACACUUUUCAUCCUCGAGGCAAGUCGUGUUUCAAUAUCUUGAAAAGAUAAGGCAUGAUAUUUUAUGUGCAUUCGUCCUUGUUGACAUUAGAGCAAAGGAUUGCCUUCGGAAGCAUGGUUUAAGCUAAUAUCGGUCAUCGACUGAUGUAGUCGAAGUGGCGUAUCAUACGACACCAUUGAAGUUGAUAUCAACAAAAGAGUUCGCCCGACGAACCUAUCUUGGAGUUGUUUCAUAGCGACGAACCUGUCUCAGAUUAUCUUCUGAAUAUGCCUAAUGGGUUUUAGAAGAUUUUUUUUUAAAUGUAAAUUAGCACUCGUUGUUUGUAGAAUUUCAGCAUUCUUUGUAUGAUAUGAAAGAUUGUACUUGUAUUCUACCUAAAGCAUAAAGAUUGUUAUUCGUUUUAUGUCCAAAGAAGUAAAAUUUCUAACUUUCGUACA
Sesamum indicum (sesame) is the source of this 1679-nucleotide non-coding RNA. Lineage: Eukaryota; Viridiplantae; Streptophyta; Magnoliopsida; Lamiales; Pedaliaceae. The record is from RefSeq and is a predicted model, not a curated record.